UACGUAGGGUGCGAGCGUUGUCCGGAAUUAUUGGGCGUAAAGAGCUCGUAGGCGGUGUGUCACGUCGGCCGUGAAAACCUGCAGCUUAACUGUGGGCGUGCGGUCGAUACGGGCAUCACUGGAGUUCGGCAGGGGAGACUGGAAUCCCUGGUGUAGUGGUGAAAUGCGUAGAGAUCAGGGGGAACACCCGUGGCGAAGGCGGCCGGCUGGGCCGACCCUGACGCUGAGGCGCGAAGGCGUGGGGAGCGAACGGG
This 254-nucleotide ribosomal RNA is filed under the name uncultured bacterium. RNAcentral describes it as "partial 16S ribosomal RNA". It matches the Rfam family "Bacterial small subunit ribosomal RNA", at positions 524 to 776 of the family's 1533-position model. The record is from RNAcentral.